CAUACAUUUAACACAGAUCCGGACAUUUUAGGUCCCCACUAUAACCAUGCCCAUCCCCCACUCUGCUUGCACAUGUGAAAGCAUGCUGUUAGCUAACUGCUGGCUAAUGAAAAGGAGGCGUUGAAUUUAUCCACCCCUUCAGUAUUGGCCAGGCUUCCAUGAACACAUAAAGCUAUAAAACCAUUACAGGAGCAUCAGUCUGUCAACAGUAGUCAGCAUUUACAACUCCCUAAUUAGUUUCACCUACAAUAAUGAUUAGGUUUCUUCCUGCACAAUCAAAAAGGUAUGUGAAAAAGAAUUUAAGUGAGACUGCCACGCUGGUGUGCGCUCGAGUUUAGAUCGAGCGCUCCCUUUCAACAUGAACACCUGCAGAGCGGUAGCAGUGGCAGACCCACACUGUGCCUCACGAAGAGUAGACAUGCGGCGGAGAACCAAGUAAAAUGGAGAGUGAGCAGAGUUCCGGAUCUGAUGACGAAUCUAAAUGUGAAGGGAGAGCUGCGGCUCAUGAAGUGCAGCGUGCCUCCUUGGAUGAGUCUGUGUCUCCCAGGUCAGAUACUGAAGUUUCUCCAAGCAAAAUAUUGAACCCCGGAUGGCCUCCCAACCUACUCCUCACUUGAAGACAGUCAUCACAUUCAGCGUUUGAAGAAACUGACAGCUCAUCAUGAUAAAUGUGAGCGCAGUUUUGAGAAGGCUUAUGCAAUGCAGACAAAGGAGGAGCAGGACAGAACAUUAACGUUGCAUCAUCAACUGAACAUGAAGGGUCAUCAUCUGAAAGUGAAGAUACCAUCACCCUUAAUGAAACUCCACCUGAUGUGAUCCAAGAUGACAGCGUUCCUAUGCUCACAAGAACCCAAAGU
Molecule: non-coding RNA, 857 nt
Organism: Nothobranchius furzeri (turquoise killifish)
Lineage: Eukaryota; Metazoa; Chordata; Actinopteri; Cyprinodontiformes; Nothobranchiidae
Source: RefSeq, a predicted model, not a curated record